GAUGAACGCUGGCGGCGUGCUUAACACAUGCAAGUCGAACGGGAAUUACUUUAUUGAAGCUUCGGUCGAUUUAAUUUAAUUCUAGUGGCGGACGGGUGAGUAACGCGUGGGUAACCUGCCUUAUACAGGGGGAUAACAGUCAGAAAUGGCUGCUAAUACCGCAUAAGCGCACAGAGCUGCAUGGCUCAGUGUGAAAAACUCCGGUGGUAUAAGAUGGACCCGCGUUGGAUUAGCUUGUUGGUGGGGUAACGGCCCACCAAGGCGACGAUCCAUAGCCGGCCUGAGAGGGUGAACGGCCACAUUGGGACUGAGACACGGCCCAGACUCCUACGGGAGGCAGCAGUGGGGAAUAUUGCACAAUGGGGGAAACCCUGAUGCAGCGACGCCGCGUGAAGGAAGAAGUAUCUCGGUAUGUAAACUUCUAUCAGCAGGGAAGAUAGUGACG
This 445-nucleotide ribosomal RNA is filed under the name uncultured bacterium. RNAcentral describes it as "bacterial SSU rRNA". It matches the Rfam family "Bacterial small subunit ribosomal RNA", at positions 28 to 456 of the family's 1533-position model. The record is from RNAcentral.